This 502-nucleotide ribosomal RNA is filed under the name uncultured bacterium. Its description in RNAcentral is "partial 16S ribosomal RNA". It matches the Rfam family "Bacterial small subunit ribosomal RNA", at positions 30 to 523 of the family's 1533-position model. The record is from RNAcentral.
AUUGAACGCUGGCGGCAUGCCUUACACAUGCAAGUCGAACGGCAGCACGGGUGCUUGCACCUGGUGGCGAGUGGCGAACGGGUGAGUAAUAUAUCGGAACGUACCUUAUUGUGGGGGAUAACGCAGCGAAAGCUGUGCUAAUACCGCAUAAUCCCUAAGGGGGAAAGCGGGGGACCGUAAGGCCUCGCGCAAUUAGAGCGGCCGAUACCUGAUUAGCUAGUUGGUGAGGUAAAGGCUCACCAAGGCAACGAUCAGUAGCUGGUCUGAGAGGACGACCAGCCACACUGGGACUGAGACACGGCCCAGACUCCUACGGGAGGCAGCAGUGGGGAAUUUUGGACAAUGGGCGCAAGCCUGAUCCAGCCAUGCCGCGUGCGGGAAGAAGGCCUUCGGGUUGUAAACCGCUUUUGUCAGGGAAGAAAAGACUCCUGUUAAUACCGGGGGUUCAUGACGGUACCUGAAGAAUAAGCACCGGCUAACUACGUGCCAGCCGCCGCGGUAA